This 568-nucleotide ribosomal RNA is filed under the name uncultured bacterium. RNAcentral's name for it is "partial 16S ribosomal RNA". It matches the Rfam family "Bacterial small subunit ribosomal RNA", at positions 355 to 914 of the family's 1533-position model. The record is from RNAcentral.
UGGGGAAUUUUGGACAAUGGGCGAAAGCCUGAUCCAGCAAUGCCGCGUGUGUGAAGAAGGCCUUCGGGUUGUAAAGCACUUUUGUCCGGAAAGAAAUCCUUGGCUCUAAUACAGUCGGGGGAUGACGGUACCGGAAGAAUAAGCACCGGCUAACUACGUGCCAGCAGCCGCGGUAAUACGUAGGGUGCAAGCGUUAAUCGGAAUUACUGGGCGUAAAGCGUGCGCAGGCGGUUUGCUAAGACCGAUGUGAAAUCCCCGGGCUCAACCUGGGAACUGCAUUGGUGACUGGCAGGCUAGAGUAUGGCAGAGGGGGGUAGAAUUCCACGUGUAGCAGUGAAAUGCGUAGAGAUGUGGAGGAAUACCGAUGGCGAAGGCAGCCCCCUGAGCCAAUACUGACGCUCAUGCACGAAAGCGUGGGGAGCAAACAGGAUUAGAUACCCUGGUAGUCCACGCCCUAAAACGAUGUCAACUAGUUGUUGGGGAUUCAUUUUCCUUAGUAACGUAGCUAACGCGUGAAGUUGACCGCCUGGGGAGUACGGUCGCAAGAUUAAAACUUAAAUGAAUUGAC